Molecule: non-coding RNA, 96 nt
Organism: Cerioporus squamosus
Lineage: Eukaryota; Fungi; Basidiomycota; Agaricomycetes; Polyporales; Polyporaceae
Source: the annotation of a GenBank genome assembly
GGCCUGGUGGUCUAGUAGUAUGAUUCCUUCUUAGGGCGUCAACCCAUGGUUAGCGUGAUGUGGAGGAGGUCCCGGGUUCAAUUCCCGGCCAGGCCC